CGUUAAGACAUAUGAAUAGUAUUCCGAUUGGCAUUUAUAAAUUGUAAUCUAAUAAUUGAAAUUUUAAAUAAAUUAUUGCAAGUUACUUGAAGGGAUCAUGAGAGUUCUGUGAUUUUAGCAGAGCAACGGAGAUAAAUAAAUAACCGCAAUCAAUGGGAAUAUACCAAUCGAACAUAUUAUUAAUGAGGAUCAGGGUUGGUAGUUAUUACUCAACUCUGAUGAGAAUAUAUCAAUCAGAUAAGGAAAAUCGAGGAUGAGAAGCAAGAGAUAUAAGACUACGAUAAACUUUCUAUAAUGGAAGCUUUAAUAGGGAAUCGAGAAAUUAAUCAAGCGCGGAACUAACAGCUGUCAACGCCGAAAGGAUUUAUCCCUCUUCUAAUAAAUUCAUCUUCAAAAUGAUGUAACGUGAAUUUAUUCUGGAUAUAUCUAUUAUAUCUCUCGAAUUUCUGGAUGAAAAUAGGGGAAAGCUGAGGAUUAUAACGGGGUGUGCGUGUUUUUAUUGUACAGGGUGUCCCGCAUAGGAAA
This is a long non-coding RNA of Nylanderia fulva, 525 nucleotides long. RefSeq lists it as uncharacterized. The record is from RefSeq and is a predicted model, not a curated record. NCBI's taxonomy places the organism in Eukaryota, Metazoa, Arthropoda, Insecta, Hymenoptera, Formicidae.